This 182-nucleotide small RNA is filed under the name Streptococcus pyogenes JRS4. Its description in RNAcentral is "tracrRNA". The stretch from base 1 to 88 matches the Rfam family "Trans-activating crRNA". The record is from RNAcentral. Lineage: Bacteria; Bacillati; Bacillota; Bacilli; Lactobacillales; Streptococcaceae.
UGGAGACCAUUCAAAACAGCAUAGCCAGUUAAAAUAAGGCUAGUCCGUUAUCAACUUGAAAAAGUGGCACCGAGUCGGUGCUUUUUUUGAUACUUCUAUUCUACUCUGACUGCAAACCCAAAAAAACAAGCGCUUUCAAAACGCUUGUUUUAUCAUUUUUAGGGAAAUUAAUCUCUUAAUCC